Molecule: RNA transcript, 1657 nt
Organism: Erinaceus europaeus (western European hedgehog)
Lineage: Eukaryota; Metazoa; Chordata; Mammalia; Eulipotyphla; Erinaceidae
Gene: ATP5MJ
Gene name: ATP synthase membrane subunit j
Exons: 4
Source: RefSeq, a predicted model, not a curated record
UUAUCCACUGCACCACCUCCCAGACCACACUACUUUCUUUUUCUUUCUUUUAUUUUUUAAAAAUAUUUUAUUUGUUUAUUAAUGAGAAUGAUAGGCGGAGAAAGAGAAAGAACCAGACAUCACUCUGGUACAUAUGCUGCCGGGGAUUACCUCGUGCUUGGGAGUCCAAUGUUUUAUCCACGGUGCCACCUCCCAUCCCGGACCACUCUACUUUCUAUAUAUAAGACAAAUUGAGAGGGAAGGAGGAGAUCGGAGAUCGGGAGGAAGAGAAAGACACCUGCAGCUCUGCUUCAUCACUCCUGAAGCUUCCCUCCUGCCCGGUGGAGCGUGGGGGUUCGAACCCGGGGCCUUGCACACUGCAAUGUGCGCGCUCUGCCAGGUGCGCCACCACCCGGCCCUUGCACGCAUCCACUUUGCACACGAAUCUACAAACUGGCCAAGUCCGCACUUCGGUUUCUUUUCUGGCGGUUUCCAGCUCCCUCCGCUGCCCGCAGUGCGCCCGCCCGCGCUGUCCGUCUGGCAGCGGGUUAGGACGCACAGACGGCCGCGUGCAACAUACGUGGCGAGAGACCCCGCUGCAGAGGGGAGCGGCGCGCACGCUACGGGUAGGAGCCUCGGACGGGCUCGUCGUUCAGGCCGCGCCUCUGGCCGCGGUGCUCGAACCCCACUGCCACCGCCGCCGCCACCGCCACCGCCACCGCCGCGGUCCCCCGCGCGUCCAGGCGUCGCCGUCCUGCAGCCUCCGGGGCGGCCGCGGGGGGGCGCUGUGGUGCGCAGGCGCGGCCAGGCAGACGCUCUAGCUGCCGCGCCGCCUCUCCUUCCGCCCUCCCGGCGACUCCCGCGCGACGCGUGCGCACUCGGUGACCUUUCCGAGUCGUCGGCUGUGCGGCAACGGCGGCCUGAGCCCGGGUCCGGCGUCGAGAUGCUGCAAAGCUUUAUGAAAAAUGUUUGGACCCCCCUGCGGCCCUACUACACCCAGGUUUACCAGGAGAUCUGGAUAGGAAUGGGCUUGAUGGGCUUCAUUGUUUAUAAGAUCAGGAGUGCAGGACAAAAGGGAGAGGAGAGAGAGACGCUGUUCAUGAAGCUUCUCUCCUGGAGCUAGAGAGUGGGUGCUUGAAUCCCAGUCCUUGCACAUGGGAACUAGUGCACUCAGGUGCACCACUGCACAGACCCCUCAAAAAUCUGUCUCCUCUCCCUCUCCAUUUUGUCCUAUCAAAUUAUAAUAAUGAUAUAAUAAAACCAAAGUUACUGGUUCUCAGUAGAACAGAGAUGAGACCCAGUGGAGCAUGAAUGAACCGCUGACUUAAGAGUUUACUGUAGUUCAUUUGCUGUUCCUCUGGGAGCAGCAUAUCCUUCCAGUGGCUUUAAUGUCAUUGUUGGUUUCAGCAGUGAGUUGACAAAAAGCGUUUUUGUGAGCCAUUGAUAUAACCAAUCUUUUCUUCUUUAUUUUAGAUAAGAAAAGUAAAGCUUUGAAAGCCUCUAAGCAGACUACGGGCCAUGGCCAUCACUAGCAGCUGCCCCGGGAGUGUGUGCAGAUGGUGGGACGUCCGCCUGGCCGUGCCCUGCGGCACGCCGCGUUAGACGGGGGCCUGGGUAUUGUACAAGAGUGAAUAAAGGUUGUUGUGAGUCGCCCUUCCUGCUCGGGUCCUACUUUGAA